AUACGGAGGAUGCAAGCGUUAUCCGGAUUUAUUGGGUUUAAAGGGUGCGUAGGCGGAGGAGUAAGUCAGGGGUGAAAUGCCGCAGCUCAACUGCGGAACUGCCUUUGAUACUGCUUUUCUGGAGUCCGGAUGCCGUGGGAGGAAUGGGCAGUGUAGCGGUGAAAUGCAUAGAUAUUGCCCAGAACACCGAUUGCGAAGGCAUCUCACGAAUCCGGGACUGACGCUGAGGCACGAAAGCGUGGGGAUCAAACAGGAUUAGAUACCCUGGUAGUCCGCGCAGUAAACGAUGAUAACUAACCGUCGGCGAUAGACAGUCGGUGGCCAAGCGAAAGCGAUAAGUUAUCCACCUGGGGAGUACGUUCGCAAGAAUGAAACUCAAAGGAAUGUUCGGGG
This 393-nucleotide ribosomal RNA is filed under the name uncultured bacterium. RNAcentral's name for it is "partial 16S ribosomal RNA". It matches the Rfam family "Bacterial small subunit ribosomal RNA", at positions 523 to 918 of the family's 1533-position model. The record is from RNAcentral.